AGAGUUUGAUCCUAGCUCAGGAUGAACGCUGGCGGCGUGGAUAAGGCAUGCAAGUCAAACGGUUCUUAUAUUUAUAUAUGAACAGUGGCAAACGGGGUAGUAACACGUGGGAACGUACCUAGAAGUCGUGAACAACCCAUCGAAAGGUGGGCUAAUACACGAUGGUCUCGAAAGAGUAAAGAUUUAUCGCUUCUAGAACGGCCUGCGAGGUAUCAGUUAGUUGGUAGGGUAACGGCCUACCAAGACGAUGACGCCUAGGGGAGCUGAGAGGCUGACCCCCACCAUUGGAACUGCGACACGGUCCAAACACCUACGGGUGGCUGCAGUCAAGAAACUUCCCCAAUGCACGAAAGUGUGAGGGAGCGACGCCGCGUGGUUGAUGAAGCCCUUCGGGGUGUAAAAACCUUUUAUGUGUGAGAAAGUAAUUGAUGUUAGCACAUGAAUAAGAGGCUGCUAACUCUGUGCCAGCAGCAGCGGUAAUACAGAGGCCUCAAGCGUUAUCCGGAAUCACUGGGCGUAAAGGGUGCGUAGGUGGCGUUGUUAGUCGUAUGUCAAAGACCCGGGCUCAACCCGGGGGCGGCAUACGAAACGGCAAUGCUUGAAUAUGUGAGAGGUGUGCUGAACUCUAGGUGUAGGGGUGAAAUCCGUUGAUAUCUAGGGGAACACCAAAUGCGAAGGCAGCACACUGGCACAUUAUUGACACUGAGGCACGAAAGCGUGGGUAGCGAAUGGGAUUAGAUACCCCAGUAGUCCAUGCCCUAAACGAUGUUCAUUAGCUAUACGGAGUAUCGACCCUCUGCGUGGCGUAGCUAACGCGUUAAAUGAACCGCCUGGGAAAUACGAUCGCAAGAUUAAAACUCAAAGGAAUAGACGGGGACUCGCACAAGCGGUGGAUCAUGUGGUUUAAUUCGAUGAUAAACGAAGAACCUUACCAGGGUUUGAAACUGAACUGAAAGCUCCAAGAAACUGGAGCCCUCGCAAGACUGUUCAGCAGGUGAUAGAUGGUCGUCGUCAGCUCGUGGCUUGAGUUGUNNNNNNNNNNNNNNNNNNNNNNNNNAACCCUCAUCGUGUGUUACAAGUGUCACACGAGACUGCCCAGCCCUAAGCGCACAAAGUGCGCAGUGAUUAGUGGCUAGUGCUUAGUGAUUAGGAAUUUCCUAAAAGCUAACCACUAGAAGCUAACAACUGCGUUCGCUUUGCGAAUUUAGGGCUGGGAGGAAGGGGAGGAUGACGCCAGAUCAGCAUGUCCCUUUGAUACCCUGGGCUACACACGUGAUACAAUGGCUACUACAGUGGGAUGCAAGACAGCAAUGUGGAGCAAAUCCAUAAAAGUAGCCCCAGUUCGGAUUGGAGUCUGAAACUCGACUCCAUGAAGUUGGAAUCGCUAGUAAUCGCAGGUCAGCUAUACUGCGGUGAAUACGUUCUCGAGUCUUGUACUCACCGCCCGUCAAGUCAAGGGAGCCGGUAGCACCCGAAGUCUGCGCAUCGCGUGGCCUAAGGUGAGAUUGGUAACAGGGACUAAGUCGUAACAAGGCACGGGUAGCGGAAGCUGUUCGUG
RNAcentral lists this ribosomal RNA (1558 nucleotides) under wastewater metagenome. RNAcentral's name for it is "bacterial SSU rRNA". It matches the Rfam family "Bacterial small subunit ribosomal RNA". The record is from RNAcentral.